GACGAACGCUGGCGGCGUGCCUAAUACAUGCAAGUAGAACGCUGAAGAGAGGAGCUUGCUCUUCUUGGAUGAGUUGCGAACGGGUGAGUAACGCGUAGGUAACCUGCCUUGUAGCGGGGGAUAACUAUUGGAAACGAUAGCUAAUACCGCAUAACAAUGGAUGACACAUGUCAUUUAUUUGAAAGGGGCAAUUGCUCCACUACAAGAUGGACCUGCGUUGUAUUAGCUAGUAGGUGAGGUAAUGGCUCACCUAGGCGACGAUACAUAGCCGACCUGAGAGGGUGAUCGGCCACACUGGGACUGAGACACGGCCCAGACUCCUACGGGAGGCAGCAGUAGGGAAUCUUCGGCAAUGGGGGCAACCCUGACCGAGCAACGCCGCGUGAGUGAAGAAGGUUUUCGGAUCGUAAAGUUCUGUUGUAAGUCAAGAACGGGUGUGAGAGUGGAAAGUUCACACUGUGACGGUAGCUUACCGGAAAGGGACGGCUAACUACGUG
RNAcentral lists this ribosomal RNA (497 nucleotides) under uncultured bacterium. Its description in RNAcentral is "partial 16S ribosomal RNA". It matches the Rfam family "Bacterial small subunit ribosomal RNA", at positions 28 to 507 of the family's 1533-position model. The record is from RNAcentral.